AUGUCGAAGUCAUACUGCAGUGG
This 23-nucleotide non-coding RNA is filed under the name Cricetulus griseus (Chinese hamster). Lineage: Eukaryota; Metazoa; Chordata; Mammalia; Rodentia; Cricetidae. The record is from RNAcentral.